RNAcentral lists this ribosomal RNA (465 nucleotides) under Vreelandella stevensii. RNAcentral's name for it is "partial 16S ribosomal RNA". It matches the Rfam family "Bacterial small subunit ribosomal RNA", at positions 338 to 795 of the family's 1533-position model. The record is from RNAcentral. Lineage: Bacteria; Pseudomonadati; Pseudomonadota; Gammaproteobacteria; Oceanospirillales; Halomonadaceae.
CCUACGGGGGGCUGCAGUGGGGAAUAUUGGACAAUGGGCGAAAGCCUGAUCCAGCCAUGCCGCGUGUGUGAAGAAGGCCUUCGGGUUGUAAAGCACUUUCAGUGGGGAAGAAAGCCUUGGGGCUAAUACCCUCGAGGAAGGACAUCACCCACAGAAGAAGCACCGGCUAACUCCGUGCCAGCAGCCGCGGUAAUACGGAGGGUGCGAGCGUUAAUCGGAAUUACUGGGCGUAAAGCGCGCGUAGGCGGUCUGAUAAGCCGGUUGUGAAAGCCCCGGGCUCAACCUGGGAACGGCAUCCGGAACUGUCAGGCUAGAGUGCAGGAGAGGAAGGUAGAAUUCCCGGUGUAGCGGUGAAAUGCGUAGAGAUCGGGAGGAAUACCAGUGGCGAAGGCGACCUUCUGGACUGACACUGACGCUGAGGUGCGAAAGCGUGGGUAGCAAACAGGAUUAGAUACCCCAGUAGUC